Molecule: non-coding RNA, 29 nt
Filed under: Homo sapiens (human)
Lineage: Eukaryota; Metazoa; Chordata; Mammalia; Primates; Hominidae
Source: RNAcentral
UCCCUUCGAAAGCGCGGGGCUGAGGUCGC